This is an RNA transcript of Anguilla anguilla (European eel), 12840 nucleotides long. It is a transcript of the gene named translocase of inner mitochondrial membrane 10 homolog (yeast), with no coding region annotated. NCBI's taxonomy places the organism in Eukaryota, Metazoa, Chordata, Actinopteri, Anguilliformes, Anguillidae. The record is from RefSeq and is a predicted model, not a curated record. The transcript is spliced from 7 exons.
UCACGAACCAGACGCCCCCUGGAGGCAAUUUGACUUACAAGCUCUAUUGAAACCCAGAAACGGGCAUAUGAGACCUCAAAGCCUGUUCAUGACUGAUUUUGCCAUUGAAUAUGUUAAUUGGGUUUUUUAAAUUUUUUUUUAGAAAACCCCAACUAACAUAUUCAAUGUAUUCAUAUUCAAACGACGGCAGCGGCGCCCGGAUCCAGCCAGACCAUCCACCAGGAUCAACGCUUGGCGCCAACGGCCUGAAGGGAGGUCCCACUGCGCUUUGAGGAGCUGACUUUCGAUCAGCUCCCUCAUUUCUGCAAGUUUUGGUCCCCCUGGGACGGACGAGCAACCGCUUAGCGCUGUACCUGUGCUUCUUUUCUUCCACCUACUUAGGUCCGGCCUGAGAGAGAGGGAGGAUGGCCACAGGAGUGCAGCCAGGAGUCCGACGCCACAACGCCGUCCGAAUGACACUCCAAAACAACGGAGAAGGGGGCAGCGGUGCUAGUGGCCCCACCCAGGUGGCACAGGGGGCGAAGGGCGCAGCCGUAGGGGGCGCUGCUGAGCCAGCAGCUCCUGGGGGGGCAAGCAAUGCCACUGCCCCCAACGUCAACAGGAGAGUGAUAGGUUUGACCCUCCUAGAAUUUAGUGCUCCAGCGAGCUAUGGGCUUUGUGCCUGGCGACCUGAACUGCCUGGUGAAGGUUCCGGGUAACGCAGAUAUCUUUGAAAUAAGUUUUAGGACUGCAAACAUCCUGGAGAGGUUCUGGAACCUCUAUAGAGAGGGGAAGGGUAAGGCUCCCCUCAGCAAUUUCGAUGUAGAGCCCCUGUCCGACACGGAAAACAAGGUGGUCACUGUACAGUUCUAUAAUGAGGCUGUACAGGACCACGACGUGAGUACGUGGUUGGGCAGGUAUGGUCUUGUUAAGUCCGAAGCCCGGAGAGUCCUUGAUGAGGACGGAGUCUGGACCGGAGCCAGGAAAUGGCUGGUCCAACUCAAACCUGACCCCUCUGCACCAGGGGGGGUAUGCCACAUCCCCAGCUCUAUCACGCUGGGGAGACAUAGGGGUGCGGUGUUCUAUUACGGCAUGCCCAAGCUGUGCAGGAACUGCGGCGAGUUAGGUCACUUAGCCGCGGCCUGCACAGUGGUCAAGUGCAAGACGUGUGGUGGCGAGCACGAGACCAGGGCAUGCCGUGACCCAAAGCCCUGUAACCUCUGCGGAGCGAGGGGGCAUCUCUUUAGAGACUGCCCCCUCUCGUACGCGAACAGGGCUAGGAGCACCGUGCCCCCUCCACCAUCUGCUGCCCCCCCUCCGGCUCCACAGCCUCCCCCGCCUACCCCCAUGCCACGCACCAGACCACCCACUCCUACCCCUUCCCAGCCUGGAAGCCCACCCCCACAAGCACAGACCACAGCACAAGACCCUACUCUCGGUAUCACCACCCCUGGAACCCCCAACUCCACAGUGCCCCCUGCCGAACUAGGUCCCACCAACCCCGUCACUGUCAAGGAGGAGCCUGACUCCGACACCCCCAUUGUGGUGUUGGAGUCAGACUCCUCAACAUCUGAAUCUGAUUCCAUCACACCUUGGCAAAAAAUCAAAAAAAGAAAGGGCAAACGUAUCAGAUCCCCAACCUCAAUAAUACAAGAACCCCCCAUCCAACCUCCCAACCCAGCAAUAGUCCGCCAAAAAACGCACACAACAAAAACACCAAAACAGUUAUCCUCAAAACCGGAACAUAGACAACAACCUAUAGCCAGGCCUGAGCCCCCUCCCUGCCCUACAAAACCAUCUACGCCACCGCUCAUACAUCACAGAGAAACACUACAGAAUACCAUCACUGCCCACGCUAGAAUCGUUAGGGACCAGCCAGCCUCCGGUCCAGACCCUGUUAAAGGGACUGGAGCAUCACCCUCCUCUCAGGGCCCUCCAGGGACUGGGGGGAAGCCUGGGGCAAGAACACCUGCCCCCACCUCUCCAGGACGGAACCUCCCAGGCAGUCAGGAGGGGAGGCCUGGGAGUGCACAUGGUCCGGGGGUGAGUAGGCGCCUCAAUAAUCAGGACAUAGUAAAUCAAAAACUCAAUAAAAUCUGCAAAGACAUAGCAAACAGUAACAUUGGAUCAUAAAUCAUACAAAACAAUAAAAUUCAUGACACAUUCAUUAACAAUUUCAUCAUUAAACACACGCAGCAUCAAAGACCCUUCCAAACGCCACACAGUAUUCUCCAUUCUGUCUCAGGUUCCCUCAGACGUCAUCCUGCUCCAGGAAUGUUGGAUGGCGUUCUGGGGGAAGAAUGGAGAAUGGGAGACUCUCUCUGGUCUGGCUGCAACAUCGCCAGAGCUGAUGGGGUCGGCACGUUGGUGAAAAAUCCCUUUGUGCGAAUAACAUCUAGCAACAUCAUAGAGAGUGGGUGAAUCCUUGUCACCGAUCUCGAGGUCGGGGGUUCCCCACUCAGGGUCAUCAAUGUGUACGGCCCCACCAGCGUGGCCGAGAGGGUCUCCCUCUUUACAAAAUUAUCACCACUUUUACAUUGCACAAUGCCGGUUGUCGUGGGGGGGGAUUUCAACUGUGCUUUAACAGAUGAGGACCGCAGCAGACCCAGACGGGACCGUUCCAGUGACCUGCUGCGGUCCCUCAUAGAGGAUUUCUCCCUCCGCGACGCCAGGGGCGCCUCUCCCCCCCCAACACACGUGGAGAUACCAUCAAGCUCUUGGGGGUGACCUUCCAGGCUGACGGAGGAGGGCGAACGAGCUGGGAGGGAGCCCUACGCCACGUCCAAAACAAAACCCGGAGCUGGAGUGCACGGCCCCUGACCAUGGCGGGUAAGAUCCUUGUCCUGAAGGCAAUUGUCCUGCCCAUUCUUCUGUAUGUGGGGAGGGUGUUUCCCCCAUACAAGGCCACCAGCAAGCAAAUUGCUAGGUUGGCCUUCUGCUUUGUCUGGGGGAGCAACAUGGAAAAACUGAGUAGAGCCACCCUCCUCAAAGAGGAGAGGAAUAGGGGGCGGGGGGUCCCGGACAUAGUCAAAAUCAUUAUGGUGCAAGGUCUGGCCGCUCUGGUCCAGAACGCUGGGAAGGUGGGAAAGGCCUCUGGUGCCUUUGCUAGGUACUAUGCCACCCCCUUCCUACGGGCAAUGGGCCUGGGUGUGCUGGACCUCACCAUACCGUAUAGCUGGGACCCCCCCUAUGUCUAUCAGGCCCUGAAGGACUUUGCUUUCAGGACGGGAUUGCCCAGGGCUGGCCUGACUUCGUGGAGCUAUAAAAUCAUUAUGGCUCAUUUAAAAUCAAACGAGACUGCCACGCUCCCGAGGUCAGGGCCGGCCCGGGACCCGCAAGUCAUCUGGGCAAAUGUGACACACAAGUGUCUUACCAACAAACAAAAAGACAUUGCCUGGAUGACAGCUCACGGGUGUCUCCCCACAAGAAUUUUUAUGUACCGCAGGCACUUAGCCCUCACUGAGCGCUGCCCCCACGGUUGCACUGACUCGGAACACAAUUUCCACCUGUUCUGGGAGUGCACCGUGGCUAGGCAGGUCUGGGUCUUGUUUCCUCUGUCUCCCAUAACAGGUUGCUGGCGAGGUCCUCCCUGACGGCUGAGAGCGUUCUCUACGGUCCCCGAGAGGGACUCAAAACCAUGGAGCUCCAGCGUCAGUGGGGGAUCGUCAAUACCAUCAAACAGGUCCUGUGGGAGACGAGGAACAUCAAGGUCUACCAGAAAACAACUGUGGACCUGGUCACUCUCCGGAGGAGGAUUCAAAACCUCCUCCAGGACGGUGUUCUGGUGGACUUUCGUAAAAACAAGGACCUGGCGAGAGAGGGGGGUGGACCACUGGAAAGAAUCAUAUAGUCCACCCCCCUAGGAGGGGCACCCGCUCUUCACCCCAUCCCGAGCACACGUAUUGUUGUUUUUCCUUUCACAUUUUAUUUAUUGUGAAUUCUUAAAACAAUUAUUGUCUUGGUGAGUGUUAGUAUGGAUACAUGUAUUAUUGAUUUGCAAAUUUGCAAAAAUGUUUUCCCUAUGUUAUCCCUUUGAGUGUUAUUAUGUUUCGUAAUUUUUGUAAACGUCUAUGUGCUUUUGUUCCUGUUUUGAUUUUUUAAAAAAGGAAUACAUUUUACAAAAUGUAAAAUGUUAAAAAAAACCAUUAAAGAUAACAUAUUCAAUGUAAUAUAUAGACUUUUUAAAAAGAUCUUUUAAAGACCAAGGGCAUAUAAAACAACAAAACAUUUUUGAUCAAUAUUUAUAAGGUAGGCCGAAAGAGAACUGCUGAAAUACUUGUGUAGCCUAUAUCCAGAGUUAAGAACAUCAUCUUGCUAGCAACUACUUCUAGCUAUUGCCCGUUAUCUUUCUCGUGUUUAGCACGAGGUAAACUUUAAUUCGAUUUUUUUAGUUUACCAAUAGGGGGACACGUGAAGUUUUUGGCAACCCAGUGACCGAUUCUCAACGUCACCGUGACCACGUUUUCUGGAUUGGGUGAAGUUAAAAGACACUAACCGUUUCGAGUUGUUUUAAUUCCCAUAAUUUUAGCCAUUCCGCUCAUAUUUGUGUUUUUUUUUUAUUUUUAGAAUACAGUAAUUAGGCGAGGUGAAGAAUUUAUUUCAGUGAAGCAAAGGUGAGUGGCUCUUGUGGUUUUACUUAGGUGAUCCUGCAAAACUAACUGGCUACCUAGCCUAGCGUGUAAGGAGUCGAGAUAGAUUACGUCAGGUGACUGGUUUGUUGGUCCAUUAAAAAAAUAAUAAACAAACCAUUGCGUAUUGUUUUAUAUAUUAAGCAUGGAUGUAUCUUAAAUUGUUUCGUAAAACAUUGGAUGUAGCUAGGUGAGCUUACUGGAUCAGUAACGAGUGGAGAAACUGUCAAGUAGCAGGCUGUUUUGAUAGCUAAUGUCAUUACCAAAUAGCUAUAUGUAAAUGACCGUUACAAAUUAAUAUCAGAAAAAUGCUUCACAUAUAAGCGUUGUUGUUGAUUCCAUAUGUUCAUCCACCAGGUAUGUAAACCAACUCAGGCUAACUGUUUAAUCAGAGACUGUAAAAAAUAUGUUUAAUCCGCUAGCUCUAUCGUGCAGAGAGACCAGAGACUGUAAAAAAUAGAGACAGAGCGCAACGCGUCAUACUCUAAAAACCACGCCCACCGGAGGGGAAGACAAUCGGCACCACAAUAUGCAACCAAGGGCUGAAACGCUAACAAAAUGCCUGUAGCUAGCUAAAAAACAUUAGAUUUAAGCAUGUCAAAGGAUUAUUUUAGCACCUUAUGUCUACCUGCGUUAGUCUAACCCUAGCUUGCUACUUCAGUGUAGCGACAACUUUAUAACGGCAUUUGCCUUUGGCUCGGGGGGCUUCUGGUGAAACUGAUUCAGAAAUUAACCGUAGUUUAAACAUGGCAGCUAGAACUUAGCUAACGUUAGCUACUUAUUACCUGCAAUUUUAUUAACGCUAGCUAAGUGGCUAUCAUUUUAGCUCCCCCUUCUUAGCCAUCUACAAGCUUGUUGAAACAACGUCGCUAGCCAACUCCAACUUAUUUCGAAUGACAGUAACGUACUGUAUCUAGCUUGCUAGCUGACACGCCGCUAGACUCCGAUGUUAGGACAGGUUUUUCGGUUCGACAGCUUAUAAAAACGUAGUUCUGGGUUCUUUACCCAGUUGGUAGUGCAUCCCACCACACAACACCUUUUAGGCAUUUUUCUGUUGUUUGCUAGCAGAUGAAAGUGACAAGGAGGCACCUUCAUGCAAUACAAAGUCAAUGGAGAGCGAUGAAUUGUUUUCCCCUCCGGCGUGGGCGGGACUUAAUUGCGCUUUGUAUGUGGCCCACCGGUGGAACACGUGUAGGUUUCCGGCCUGGUUAUGAUGUUUCUGAGUGGAAGGCAAAAACGUGCUGUUACGCUAAAUUGUUUUCCUCCAUUGGCCGUUUUUACCUUCUUGCUUAACCCCAUACACCCUGCUCAUGCUUUGUUUAAUCUCCUUCCCCAUCUUUCAAAAUCCAUCAAUCUCCCUACCACUCCUUCAUACUUAAUUCUGUAUUUUUCUUCCUAAACAGGCAUUACUAAAACGAGGAGUUAUAAAAGGAUUUGUAAUAGGUGGGUCUCAGGUAGGGUUGGGAGGUUUAUGGGUAUUGUUUUAAAUUGAGAUUAAAUUUCUUAUUAUCACAUCGGGUGAGGAAGUGCUGUUUCUAUUUGUGGUUUUUUUCCACAUUGGGGGCACAGUCCCAAUUGAGCUUGUAAGUCAAAUUGCCUCCAGGGGGCGUCUGGUAAAAAUUUUUGACGUGUAUCCGUGCGACUUUGAUUUAGCGUAGUUCAGGACCACCAACAGAUCGUAAAUCGACAUAAAUCCGUUUUUUUCCCUCCAGAGAUUGAAAUAAAUAUAACCAAGCACAUGCUAUGGCAGAGAAUGACGGUCCCAAAAAAACGUGAGAAAUCCUUUAUUUUUAAUCGCUAUAGAUAUUUUACAAUCAGUGAUUUUUAAAAAGUCAAUAGGAUUUUAACAUUGGGCUGUGACGUCACGAACCAGACGCCCCCUGGAGGCAAUUUGACUUACAAGCUCAAUUGCGGGCAGCCAAGUGUGCCAUUGGUGGCUGGUCGCUAGAGAGCAGAAACGUUGCCGCCCACUUUUUCAGCGGCCCUGGUUCCGGAAGUACAUUUCCCAUUCAUUUUCUCCAUAGACAUUUCAGAAAGACGCUAGAUAAUAUAGUUUUCAGUCAUGAACCGAACCAUCCAGGUAAAAGAUGAGUCAUGACGUUAUAAAAAUUAUUCAGAGCCAAAAAUAUCUUUGAAAAAAGAAAAAAGGCGAAGGUACAAGACUGUGUACUUAACUUUAAAGAGUUAAAGAGGGAAUUAACUUCACAUCCCAUAGAGCAUUGCGAAUGAUGCAAUCGUAUCCCUUUCCCCUCACUUUCAAUCGGUUUCAGCCAAAAAAAAAAAUCUAUCGGUUUCAACCGCAUUUAGGUUAAUUAUUUUUUAUCUUUAGUGAUUUCUUGUACUUAGCGUUAUAGUCUAAUGUUUUUAUAUUAUAUCGUUCUGUACUGUAGUCCCUGACCUUUGUAUCGUUUGCUAGUAAAGCUGUACUUUCGUUUAAGCUAAAGAAGCUACGCUUCAGCUUCGUUGCCACGCAGUCAUGGUUAACGUUAGCUCGAUUUCUAACAGAUCAGAUGACAUUUCUACAAAAAGUAACAUGAAUACUUAUCUUUUCUGACUAUGUGAAACAGUUCAAAUUAACCGAGAUGGUGGCUAUAAAAAUCAUUUUUUUGUGUGGAAUGAUAUGGAAUAAAAACAGCUAAUGUGAUUUUAUUUGUGUGAGCACGAAUACUGGGAUGAGGGACACAUUGGAUCUGAUAAAGAUUAUUCAGGAAAAUAAGUUUUUUUUGUUGUUGUUUUUUUAAAUGCAUGACUCAGAAGAAACACAUAAUAAAUGCAAGAGAAACCAUGUUUUUUUAUUAUAAAAGAUGAUUCAUUUACAUCAAGGCAUAGAGAUCAUAACGACAAUAAACACCUCUUAACAUACAAGGCACACUAGAUAAGAAAGAUAAAUAAUAUAAAAUAAUAAUAUAAUAACAAAUAAUAGAGAAUAGAAAAUAAAUAAAAUUAUUUUGUUAAAAAAAAAUAAAAAAAAAAACAUUACAAUAAUAAUAAGUCUGUACUCUUCCAUAGUUGCUCUAGGGGUCAUCAUAUAUUUUCAGUUCUUCAUAAGCUCUGAGGAGAGACUUGGCAUGUUUUCCUUUCAUUGGUUUUAAAGCACUGAGAUGAUUGUCCACAAGGUCCCUUCUAAAAACAGAAAAAAGGGGUUUCAUUUUCCUCCAUUUGGAUGUGUGGAUGAAAAAUUUCACCAGGAGUAUCAGGUUGUUCAAAAUCAGGUCACUCUUAAUGUCCUUCAUGUUAAUACCAAACAAUAUUUUCUCUUGUGAGAGGAGCAAGUAGUUUGGUUGACAGCCAGUCCAGCAAAUCGUCCCAGAAUGUCACAUACAGUAGGCUACAUACAGUGGAAAAACAGAUGAUCAGUAGUUUCAAUUUCAAUUUUACAAAAGCUACAGUUAUUUUGAUUAACAUUAAAUCUCAGUCUUAGCAGUUGAUUGCACGGAUAUUAUUCAGAAUUUUGAAGUGGACUUCUUUUGUCCUGGGGCUUACAGGAUAAGUAAUAUAGUUAGUUCUCCAUUUCUUAAUGUCUGACUCUGAAAACAGUUGGAUGACGGAGUUUCAAUUUGAUUGUAUUGGGUACAGUAUAUUGUUCAGGUGAUUACGUACCAAUUUGUUUGAAUUUUUCUCAUCCAGAAAAUCAUGACCAUUAAAUUGAAGCACAGGUAAAUUUAUAGCACACAACUGUUUAUCUAUGUUUUGGACUAAUAGUCUAACUGAAACAGGGAUUGCUUUGAUCACUCUAUCAAACUGAGCACGUGUGCAAACUGUCGUAUUUCAAGCAGAAGUUUUCAUAAGAUAGCCAGUAUCCCUGGUCAUUAAUUAGAUGGGUUAUUGACCAGAUAUUUUUUUCCAUCCAAUGCCGUAAGUAAAGAGAUUUGCCAUUACACAGCACAUACCUGUUGUUUCAAAUGGGGGUUUGAUGUGGGGUGAAAUUAUGCGUGUACAUGAGCUUCCAGCAUAACAAUACUUGUUUGUGAAAUAAGGACAGUUUGAUUGCUAAUUUUUAACCUGAAAAUCACAUUUAAGAACAAACUCUAUACUGCCCAUUUUUUUCAACAAUCCUCUGGGGAGACAAUACCAAAUACAAUUUUUGUUCAGCAAGAAAGAUUUUAGCCAUUUUGAUUUCAACACAGCAUCUAAGCAUUCAAAAUCAAUAGCUUGCGAGGCUCGGCGUCUCUCCAGUUUUUGCAAAUUAGCAGUUAUCUACCUACUCGUUUUAAGUCUGUUCACUCAGAACAGUUUUGCAUGUGUCAUACACCCGACAAAAACUUUUGGAUAUUGGAUUACACAACUCAGACAACUUUAUUGGCGAUCUCCGGCUCUAAACUGAGACCGUCAGGACACCGGAGGCUAUCAACCUGGCCCCGCCGGCCGGAAGCGCUUGCAGGCAGCAUCGAGACCGAAAACAAAAGCAGGGGAUGAGAGGAGGGCUAAGGGUUAAGCUAAGGCUAACUCCUCAUUGGCUAUCUCUACCCAGCAUUUUCCUCGCCAAUGUACGGUCUCUAGCGAACAAGAUGGAUGAACUGCGACUGCGGAUCACCACUCAUAAAAGGAUUACGGACUGCAACGUCAUGAUUUUUAUGGAAACUUAGCUUAACAGCGGCGUUCCCGAUAGCGCAGUUGAGCUACCGGAGCGCUACAUCCUCAGGGAGGAUAGAACAGCUGAUGACUCCAGUAUGACCAGAGUUUUCGGGAGGGAGAGACGUGGCGGUAUCAAAGACCUGGGUUUGAGGCACUGCUGGUGGAACAGCUGCAGAGGCAGCAGUGCAGGAGUGAGUUCUGUGACACCGUGCUGCAGUCGGAGGGAUGGCUUCCCCAUCAUUAAAAGACAGAAGGGUCGCCCCAGGGCACGGCCCCUACCUUUCCCUGCCCUCUCCCACCACCUAUUCAAAGCCCUAACCCUCUCCCCUCCAUCUGACAACCCCCUCUUAAACUCAUCUAUCCCUUUCCCUCCUACUCUUGGCCCCACCCUUAACCUUAGCCCCACCCCUAACUUCCUGCACACCCUGCCCCUGCCCCCACCCACGCCAGUUGGGGUGGCCGAAUCAGACAAGCAGAUUGAAAAGCUGCUGGAGAAUGUCAUGAUGGAACUCCCACCCACCAUCCCUGUUGUCACAGAGACCAAGGGCAGCCACAGCAAUGGCCUCAACCACAAAAGGUUUCGCCAACCCCAUGUAGAGGCUGCUACCACCAAAGUGACAGCUGCUGGUCCCACAGUGUUGGCUGAAACAGUCCUUCCUCUCUCCUCUCCCUGCGGCACACUUGAACAUCAUGGCAGCACAACUACAAUGGGUGAACUGAAUAACAUCCUGGAUAGCUUCUUGUGGACAUUUGAAAACCAGAUGUCCAUGCAGAGCAUGGGAGAGACAGCUGUAAUGGAAGCUGGGAAUGACAGGAACACCGGAAAUGCCACACUCGGACUGUGCAGUGAGCCGGGAAGCUGCCUGGCUAUUACUAGUGAGUCUGGUGCAGGAGAAGCUAAUCCACACUCAGACCCUAACAGAACUGAGCCAGCCUUGGCUGACAGACCCAUAGGGGAUGCAUCUCCUGUAACCGGGCCCGUUUCUGGUUCUGAGCCCGUUGUGAGCAGUGGCCUUUCGUGGAAAGAGGUCCACUCUGAACCGUCUUGCCCUUGCCCAGAAUCCCAGUGUGUCCCAGCCACAGAAUGCUUGCAUGCAAUUCUGGAAUAUGCCCCCACACCCCAGAGAAAAGGGAGAAAGACAGGGCAAGUCCCCCCAAAACCUGAGCGGCCACUGGAAGGAGCUGCACACCAGCCAGUGGGAUUGCAGCAACAAUUAUUUGGAGAUUCUGAUAGUUGGAGUAUGCUACAACCUUCACUGCCACUCCCAAAGUGGCCGUCGCCCCACCCUGUGGCGCUACAGUUCCCAUUGAGCUCAAUCAAAAGACCUAGUGCAAACCACCCAGUGGCACGCUACCUAUCAAUUGGAUUACAAAACCCACAAUGCCACGAUGUCAGUCGUCUGAAGAAGUUGGACGUCCAAUGUGGCCUCACCCAAAGGCUUGCUGGGCGUUGUAGUCCAGGGAGUUUAUGUCCAGAGAAGAGAGGAAGUUGUAGGACAAUGCAGGUUGUGGACAAAAAGAGGACUGUGAUCAGGAGGCAGGGCCAGGAAAGGGAGAGUGCAGAAGAAGAAGAGGAGGAUGGUGAUGAGGAGGAAAGAAUGGGGAAUUCCAGCCAGAGAAGAAGAUCUCUGAAAAGACGUAUUGAUAGUCCCACACAAGAACAAGAAACAACAGAUUUGGAGACAUGGAAAUCCAAAGCAAAGCAGGUGAAAUAUGAGGCCAGUAGUGCAAUUUUGCCUGGGAUGGGGGUUACAGACAGGGUGAGGUCGUUGGAGAGGAUCAGCAGCAAAGGAGGGAACGUACGGGUGGAGUCAGGUGAGGGCCUUACUGCUGGAGGAGGGGUGAGGCGUAGUAGCAGCAAGAUGCUGAAUGAGGGGACUUUAAAAGGAGGAGAUGUGAGCAUAUGUACGCCUGUCUGUCUCAUCAGACGGCUGAGCAACAGCACAGGGAGACAAAGCACGACUGGAGAAUCCCCAGAGAAACUGCCCAGAGGUGGUGCAGAGAAAUCGCCCAGAGACUGUGCAGAGAAACUUCCCAAAGGCAGUGCUGAGAAACCAUCUAGAGACAUUGCAGAGCAACUUUCCAGAGACAGGGCAGAGAAAUCUUCCAGAGACAGUGUAAAGAAACCACCCAAAGAUCACGUACACAAGAUGGAGGAAUUAACCAAUCGGACCACACUGAAGCACGAGAGCCCAACAGUCCAGACACAAAAGACUGUGGGUGGGGCCAACGUGCACACACAAGGGAGGGGGAGCGAGGGAGGUAUGGGGAGUGAGGGAGGUGUGAACGUUACAGAGGCACACUCCAAACCCAGAGAGAGAAAGGAAAGAGGGAGGCAGCUGAGAGAGAAGGGGCGAGGGUGCAGAGAAGAAGAGAGAGGGGCAGGGGUCCAGAACAGUGUGCGGAGACAAGGAGGGAAGAGGAAGAGGGAAGAGUCUGCCGCAGCAUCAGAUGUGAGGCUCAGAGCAGUGCAUGCUGGGAAAACAUGGAAUAUGAGUGAGGAAACCAGCUUGGACAUGUCUGGAACUAACAUCGAACCCAAACACAAACCCAAGAGCCAGAGACCACCGACAGGGAAAGCUCCAGGCCGAGGCACCGGAUCCAUCCUGUUCUCCGCAUUCCAAGAGAUGAGAGAACUACUGAAGCCUAAUCAUAGAAGGGAGAGAACAAAAGACAGUGGAGUGAGAGAGAGAGCGAACAAGGAGAGAGGGAGAAAGAGAAGGAUCGAGAAGGAGAGAGGGAGUGAACAGGACAAUGAGUGGGAGCCGGGUGAAAAGGAAAAGGAGGAGAUGAAAGGAGAGACAGAGAAGAAUGGAGGGAGAGAGAUGGCCAUAGAAGAAAGAGCAACUAGGCCUGGAGAUGGAACAAUAGACUGGGGCAAACUGACAGAUGGUAAAGAGAAAAAAAUGACAGACAACAAGAGGGGGGCCGCUGAACUGAAAGAACGAGGGGAUGAAAAGACACUAAAAGGAAGAGUGAUGGAUAGUGCAGGGACACAGGUGGGUGAAAACCAGAGCUUUGGAUCAGGAGAAGAGGAGGCCGAUGUGGAUGGAGAUGGCAGAGAAAAAAUAAACUGUUGUCCUUGGGACACUGCCCCCAGUGGCCAGCCAGAUGUAUUACAGUCACAGUAUAUCCCGGUAUCCAACAGAAACGCUCCAGACAUUGGGCCUGGAGAUGAGACAAAAAGAGAGGUAAUGUGGAAGCAGAGGAUGUCAUCUGUUGUAGUCUGUGAAAAAAAACUUCCUCUUUUGCGUCACCUGGCCACCCAGGUGUUACCGCCCACUCAGGUGAUACCCAGGGUCACAGAGGGAUCAGGCUUGGAGCAGGAAGAGGAAGUGGAAGUAGAUAUUUUAGAUUGUUCCCCUCUUCCACUCAUACUGAUGCCUGAGAUGUGGAUGAAGGGGCUCAAUCCCAUGACAUCAUCAGAGGAGGAAGAGGAAGGAGACAUUGAUGUGACUGGAGAAGAGACUGAUUGAGUUCCUGUUCUACUCCAGAGCCCCCCCUACCCCCAUCCUCCAUCCGCCUCUCCUCCAAACUGCACUUGACCAGCAUGACCAAUGCCUGCCACAGGAAGUGUGUGCCCCCCCACUACAAGGAAGCAGAGCUUUCUAAGGGAGAGGCUGUGUGCCUGGACCGCUGUGUAGCCAAGUACUUGGAA